AGUAUGCUGUUUGCGAUUUUCUUACAUCUUGUCCUGAGAAUAGUAUAAUAACACAAGAUUGUUUUGUCUGUUAUGAACUUAAUUUUGUAAUUAUAGUUGGUGUAGAUAUAAUGAGGUUGUCGUUUAAAAAUGUAGGGCUAAAGCAUAGGGAAAAAUGGUUAGUAGGUACUUGAUUUGGAUCAAAUGUCCAUAAACUUGAUCAAAUUGAAGACCUACUUUAAGUAACUGGGGGGCGAUGGAUGCUGUAGCAGUGUUGUGUAAGUGUAUGUGUUAAAGAUUUAAUGUACAUGUUAUGAGAGGACCUUACUUGGGCAGUUAAAAAAAAGGAAAAAAGGAAAAAUAAUAUUUGGGCUAGCAAUGCUUUAUACAUUUCAAAAGUUUGCAUGUGGAUGUGAACUUUCUGUCCUCUCCUAAUCCCAUAGCCAUUGGAUACUAUUAGUAAUUGAAAUCAAAUUUGUCUAUCAUUUCUGUAGGACUGAUUUUAAUCCAAUGAUAUUAUGGUUAGAGAUGUAAAUAGAUGUGACUCGCUUAGUAUUAUGAAACAAUCAUCCAGUGGAGUUUAGUUGACAUUGCCAUUUGCCAAGAACUUUGCACUUUGCGGCCUACACAUAUCAAACUAUCAGUCCACCUGAGAUAAAU
Molecule: unclassified non-coding RNA, 639 nt
Filed under: Hevea brasiliensis (rubber tree)
Lineage: Eukaryota; Viridiplantae; Streptophyta; Magnoliopsida; Malpighiales; Euphorbiaceae
Source: RNAcentral